CAGCUGUAAACGAUGCAGACUAGGUGUUUGGACGGCCACGUGCCGUUCUAGUGCCGCAGGGAAGCUGUUAAGUCUGCCGCCUGGGGAGUACGAUCGCAAGAUUGAAACUUAAAGGAUUGGCGGGGGAGCACCACAAGGGUGAAGCUUGCGGUUUAAUUGGAUUCAACGCCGGAAAUCUUACCGGGACCGACAGCAACAUGAAGGCCAGGCUGAAGACUUUGCCGGAUUAGCUGAGAGGAGGUGCAUGGCGUAGUCGUGU
RNAcentral lists this ribosomal RNA (259 nucleotides) under uncultured archaeon. RNAcentral describes it as "partial 16S ribosomal RNA". It matches the Rfam family "Archaeal small subunit ribosomal RNA", at positions 748 to 1009 of the family's 1478-position model. The record is from RNAcentral.